UGACUAGUAGCUCAAUGGUAGAGCAUACGGCUGUUAACCGUAGGGUUGUAGGUUCGAGUCCUAUCUAGUCAG
RNAcentral lists this transfer RNA (72 nucleotides) under Caudoviricetes sp. RNAcentral describes it as "tRNA-Asn". It matches the Rfam family "tRNA". Rfam says of the family: Transfer RNA (tRNA) molecules are approximately 80 nucleotides in length. Their secondary structure includes four short double-helical elements and three loops (D, anti-codon, and T loops). Lineage: Duplodnaviria; Heunggongvirae; Uroviricota; Caudoviricetes. The record is from RNAcentral.